Molecule: transfer RNA, 83 nt
Filed under: Moesziomyces antarcticus T-34
Lineage: Eukaryota; Fungi; Basidiomycota; Ustilaginomycetes; Ustilaginales; Ustilaginaceae
Rfam family: tRNA
About the family: Transfer RNA (tRNA) molecules are approximately 80 nucleotides in length. Their secondary structure includes four short double-helical elements and three loops (D, anti-codon, and T loops). Further hydrogen bonds mediate the characteristic L-shaped molecular structure. tRNAs have two regions of fundamental functional importance: the anti-codon, which is responsible for specific mRNA codon recognition, and the 3' end, to which the tRNAs corresponding amino acid is attached (by aminoacyl-tRNA synthetases). tRNAs cope with the degeneracy of the genetic code in two manners: having more than one tRNA (with a specific anti-codon) for a particular amino acid; and 'wobble' base-pairing, i.e. permitting non-standard base-pairing at the 3rd anti-codon position.
Source: Rfam by way of RNAcentral
GGGGGUUUAGCUCAGUUGGUAGAGCGUUCGCUUAGCAUCGCCUAAAUUGCGAAAGGUCGCGUGUUCGACUCAUGCAGUCUCCA